UGGGGAAUUUUGGACAAUGGGCGAAAGCCUGAUCCAGCAAUGCCGCGUGUGUGAAGAAGGCCUUCGGGUUGUAAAGCACUUUUGUCCGUAAAGAAAUCCUUGGCUCUAAUACAGUCGGGGAAUGACGGUACCGGAAGAAUAAGCACCGGCUAACUACGUGCCAGCAGCCGCGGUAAUACGUAGGGUGCAAGCGUUAAUCGGAAUUACUGGGCGUAAAGCGUGCGCAGGCGGUUUGCUAAGACCGAUGUGAAAUCCCCGGGCUCAACCUGGGAACUGCAUUGGUGACUGGCAGGCUAGAGUAUGGCAGAGGGGGGUAGAAUUCCACGUGUAGCAGUGAAAUGCGUAGAGAUGUGGAGGAAUACCGAUGGCGAAGGCAGCCCCCUGGGCCAAUACUGACGCUCAUGCACGAAAGCGUGGGGAGCAAAACAGGAUUAGAUACCCUGGUAGUCCACGCCCUAAACGAUGUCAACUAGUUGUUGGGGAUUCAUUUCCUUAGUAACGUAGCUAACGCGUGAAGUUGACCGCCUGGGGAGUACGGUCGCAAGAUUAAAACUCAAAUGAAUUGAC
RNAcentral lists this ribosomal RNA (567 nucleotides) under uncultured bacterium. RNAcentral's name for it is "partial 16S ribosomal RNA". It matches the Rfam family "Bacterial small subunit ribosomal RNA", at positions 355 to 914 of the family's 1533-position model. The record is from RNAcentral.